Molecule: ribosomal RNA, 794 nt
Filed under: Halomonas ventosae
Lineage: Bacteria; Pseudomonadati; Pseudomonadota; Gammaproteobacteria; Oceanospirillales; Halomonadaceae
Description: bacterial SSU rRNA
Rfam family: Bacterial small subunit ribosomal RNA
Source: RNAcentral
GCUCCAGGCGUCGAGCGGCGGACGGGUGAGUAAUGCAUAGGAAUCUGCCCGGUAGUGGGGGAUAACCUGGGGAAACCCAGGCUAAUACCGCAUACGUCCUACGGGAGAAAGCAGGGGAUCUUCGGACCUUGCGCUAUCGGAUGAGCCUAUGUCGGAUUAGCUUGUUGGUGAGGUAAUGGCUCACCAAGGCGACGGKMSGUAGCUGGUCUGAGAGGAUGAUCAGCCACAUCGGGACUGAGACACGGCCCGAACUCCUACGGGAGGCAGCAGUGGGGAAUAUUGGACAAUGGGCGAAAGCCUGAUCCAGCCAUGCCGCGUGUGUGAAGAAGGCUUUCGGGUUGUAAAGCACUUUCAGUGAGGAAGAAAGCCUUGGGGCUAAUACCCCCAAGGGACGACAUCACUCACAGAAGAAGCACCGGCUAACUCCGUGCCAGCAGCCGCGGUAAUACGGAGGGUGCGAGCGUUAAUCGGAAUUACUGGGCGUAAAGCGCGCGUAGGCGGCGUGAUAAGCCGGUUGUGAAAGCCCCGGGCUCAACCUGGGAACGGCAUCCGGAACUGUCAGGCUAGAGUGCAGGAGAGGAAGGUAGAAUUCCCGGUGUAGCGGUGAAAUGCGUAGAGAUCGGGAGGAAUACCAGUGGCGAAGGCGGCCUUCUGGACUGACACUGACGCUGAGGUGCGAAAGCGUGGGUAGCAAACAGGAUUAGAUACCCUGGUAGUCCACGCCGUAAACGAUGUCGACUAGCCGUUGGGGUCCUUGAGACCUUUGUGGCGCAGUUAACGCGAUAAGUCGACCG